AUUGAACGCUGGCGGCAUGCCUUACACAUGCAAGUCGAACGGCAGCACGGGAGCAAUCCUGGUGGCGAGUGGCGAACGGGUGAGUAAAGUAUCGGAACGUGCCCAGUCGUGGGGGAUAACGUAGCGAAAGUUACGCUAAUACCGCAUACGAUCUGAGGAUGAAAGCGGGGGACCGUAAGGCCUCGCGCGAUCGGAGCGGCCGAUGUCAGAUUAGGUAGUUGGUGGGGUAAAGGCUCACCAAGCCGACGAUCUGUAGCUGGUCUGAGAGGACGACCAGCCACACUGGGACUGAGACACGGCCCAGACUCCUACGGGAGGCAGCAGUGGGGAAUUUUGGACAAUGGGCGCAAGCCUGAUCCAGCAAUGCCGCGUGCAGGAAGAAGGCCUUCGGGUUGUAAACUGCUUUUGUACGGAGCGAAAAGGCUCUCUCUAAUACAGGGGGCUCAUGACGGUACCGUAAGAAUAAGCACCGGCUAACUUCGUGCCAGCCGCCGCCGUAA
Molecule: ribosomal RNA, 500 nt
Filed under: uncultured bacterium
Lineage: Bacteria
Description: partial 16S ribosomal RNA
Rfam family: Bacterial small subunit ribosomal RNA
Source: RNAcentral